Molecule: ribosomal RNA, 386 nt
Filed under: Esox masquinongy (muskellunge)
Lineage: Eukaryota; Metazoa; Chordata; Actinopteri; Esociformes; Esocidae
Description: partial small subunit ribosomal RNA
Rfam family: Bacterial small subunit ribosomal RNA
Source: RNAcentral
GCAUAGCCAUAAAUUUUGAUAAAAAUAUACAAUUUUAUCCGCCAGGGGACUACAAGCAUUAGCUUAAAACCCAAAGGACUUGGCGGUGCUUCAGACCCACCUAGAGGAGCCUGUUCUAUAACCGAUAACCCCCGCUUAACCUCACCAGCCCUUGUUCAUCCCGCCUAUAUACCACCGUCGCCAGCUUAUCCUGUGAAGGUCCUAUAAUAAGCAAAAUGGGUAAAACCCAAAACGUCAGGUCGAGGUGUAGCGCAUGAGCUGGGAAGAAAUGGGCUACAUUUUCUGACUCAGAAUAUACGAACUGCACUGUGAAACCAGUGUCCAAAGGUGGAUUUAGCAGUAAACAGAAAAUAGAGUGUUCUCUUGAAACUGGCUCUGAAGCGCGC